Molecule: ribosomal RNA, 460 nt
Filed under: uncultured bacterium
Lineage: Bacteria
Description: partial 16S ribosomal RNA
Rfam family: Bacterial small subunit ribosomal RNA
Source: RNAcentral
CCUACGGGAGGCAGCAGUGAGGAAUAUUGGUCAAUGGGCGAGAGCCUGAACCAGCCAAGUCGCGUGAGGGAAGACGGUCCUAUGGAUUGUAAACCUCUUUAGGCGGGGAGCAAUGCCGGGCACGCGUGCCCGGAGGGAGAGUACCCGCAGAAUAAGCAUCGGCUAACUCCGUGCCAGCAGCCGCGGUAAUACGGAGGAUGCGAGCGUUAUCCGGAUUUAUGGGGUGUAAAGGGUGCGUAGGCGGAUUUUUAAGUCAGCGGUAAAAUGUCCGGGCUCAACCCGGGCCGGCCGUUGAAACUGGGGAUCUUGAGUGGGCGAGAAGUAUGCGGAAUGCGUGGUGUAGCGGUGAAAUGCAUAGAUAUCACGCAGAACUCCGAUUGCGAAGGCAGCAUACCGGCGCCCGACUGACGCUGAGGCACGAAAGCGUGGGGAUCGAACAGGAUUAGAUACCCCUGUAGUC